RNAcentral lists this ribosomal RNA (995 nucleotides) under uncultured organism. RNAcentral describes it as "bacterial SSU rRNA". It matches the Rfam family "Bacterial small subunit ribosomal RNA", at positions 356 to 1376 of the family's 1533-position model. The record is from RNAcentral.
GGGGAAUAUUGCACAAUGGGGGAAACCCUGAUGCAGCGACGCCGCGUGGAGGAAGAAGGUCUUCGGAUUGUAAACUCCUGUUGUUGAGGAAGAUAAUGACGGUACUCAACAAGGAAGUGACGGCUAACUACGUGCCAGCAGCCGCGGUAAAACGUAGGUCACAAGCGUUGUCCGGAAUUACUGGGUGUAAAGGGAGCGCAGGCGGGAAGACAAGUUGGAAGUGAAAUCUAUGGGCUCAACCCAUAAACUGCUUUCAAAACUGUUUUUCUUGAGUAGUGCAGAGGUAGGCGGAAUUCCCGGUGUAGCGGUGGAAUGCGUAGAUAUCGGGAGGAACACCAGUGGCGAAGGCGGCCUACUGGGCACCAACUGACGCUGAGGCUCGAAAGUGUGGGUAGCAAACAGGAUUAGAUACCCUGGUAGUCCACACCGUAAACGAUGAUUACUAGGUGUUGGAGGAUUGACCCCUUCAGUGCCGCAGUUAACACAAUAAGUAAUCCACCUGGGGAGUACGACCGCAAGGUUGAAACUCAAAGGAAUUGACGGGGGCCCGCACAAGCAGUGGAGUAUGUGGUUUAAUUCGACGCAACGCGAAGAACCUUACCAAGUCUUGACAUCCUGCGACGAUGCUGGAAACAGUAUUUUCCUUCGGGACACAGAGACAGGUGGUGCAUGGUUGUCGUCAGCUCGUGUCGUGAGAUGUUGGGUUAAGUCCCGCAACGAGCGCAACCCUUACUGUCAGUUACUACGCAAGAGGACUCUGGCAGGACUGCCGUUGACAAAACGGAGGAAGGUGGGGAUGACGUCAAAUCAUCAUGCCCUUUAUGACUUGGGCUACACACGUACUACAAUGGCGUUAAACAAAGAGAAGCAAGACCGCGAGGUGGAGCAAAACUCAGAAACAACGUCCCAGUUCGGACUGCAGGCUGCAACUCGCCUGCACGAAGUCGGAAUUGCUAGUAAUCGCAGAUCAGAAUGCUGCGGUGAAUACGUUCCCG